AUGAAAAGAGUCCAAUGCAAAGAAGACGGUAUCAGAUGAAAACUUUCUGUGAAAGAAGUACAAAUGCUUAUUAGAGAAAUAAUGGUUAGAACUCAUGUAGACUCUCCUCUCCACUUGCAGAAAACUCCAUCAGAAUCUGAAGUUAUCCAAGAGAAGUUUUUAUAGCCCUCAUGAAAAAGGUUCUUGAGAAGAUGACCAUCUUCUGGAAGGCCACCGGGAAAGGCUGAGAGCGCUUGAUCUGGUAACAAUAAGAAAGCUGAAAGCAGGAAACGGUGCUCUGUAUUCAAAGAACAUAGAAAUCUCUUGUACUUCUUAGCAGUUUGAUAUUACAAGGCUUGCAGAAUACUUGCUUUAUGCAUGUAGUCAUUGGAAGUUCCCAGCACCUCUUGCCAGCUGGUUGGAUGAACGCCUCAAGGACAUGUACGUUGAAGUCACUGCUGCAGGAAGGAUCUUCUGCUGCUUUCCUGCCACCACUGUACUUGGAGGAAUUUUGA
Molecule: long non-coding RNA, 494 nt
Filed under: Coturnix japonica (Japanese quail)
Lineage: Eukaryota; Metazoa; Chordata; Aves; Galliformes; Phasianidae
Description: lncRNA (ENSCJPG00005001902.1)
Source: RNAcentral